RNAcentral lists this ribosomal RNA (253 nucleotides) under uncultured bacterium. Its description in RNAcentral is "partial 16S ribosomal RNA". It matches the Rfam family "Bacterial small subunit ribosomal RNA", at positions 524 to 776 of the family's 1533-position model. The record is from RNAcentral.
UACGUAGGGGGCAAGCGUUGUCCGGAUUCAUUGGGCGUAAAGAGCGUGUAGGCGGCCAGGUAGGUCGGUUGUGAAAACUGGAGGCUCAACCUUCAGACGUCGACCGAAACCAUCUGGCUAGAGUCCGGGAGAGGAGAGUGGAAUUCCUGGUGUAGCGGUGAAAUGCGCAGAUAUCAGGAGGAACACCGAUGGCGAAGGCAGGUCUCUGGGCUGACACUGACGCUCAUGCACGAAAGCGUGGGGAGCAAACAGG